RNAcentral lists this ribosomal RNA (464 nucleotides) under uncultured bacterium. Its description in RNAcentral is "partial 16S ribosomal RNA". It matches the Rfam family "Bacterial small subunit ribosomal RNA", at positions 29 to 507 of the family's 1533-position model. The record is from RNAcentral.
AUUGAACGCUGGCGGCAUGCUUUACACAUGCAAGUCGAACGGCAGCGCGGGCUUCGGCCUGGCGGCGAGUGGCGAACGGGUGAGUAAUACAUCGGAACGUGCCCAGUAGUGGGGGAUAGCUCGGCGAAAGCCGGAUUAAUACCGCAUACGACCUGAGGGUGAAAGCGGGGGAUCUUCGGACCUCGCGCGAUUGGAGCGGCCGAUGGCGGAUUAGCUAGUUGGUGGGGUAAAGGCCGACCAAGGCGACGAUCGGUAGCUGGCCUGAGAGGACGACCGGCCACAUGGGAGCUGCGGAACGGCCCAGACUGCUACGGUAGGCAGGAGUGGGGAAUAGUACACAAUGGGAGGAAGCAUGAGGCAGGAACGCCGCGGGCGGGAUGACGGACGUCGGGGUGGAAACAGGGUGCGCCGGGGAAGAAGCGGGAGGGACGGUAAUUGGUAAAGAAGCACAGGCUAGCUACGUG